Long non-coding RNA from Populus nigra (black poplar), 464 nucleotides. RefSeq lists it as uncharacterized. The transcript has 2 exons. The record is from RefSeq and is a predicted model, not a curated record. Lineage: Eukaryota; Viridiplantae; Streptophyta; Magnoliopsida; Malpighiales; Salicaceae.
UUUUUUUUUUGCAGAGAGUUUUUCGUGGAAGGGAAACACUGAAGAGACGUCAAUCUGCAGAGAAACGAGGAAGGAGAGGGUUUCUUUCUGUUUUUUAAAGGUUCUCAACGGCUAAGAGUUAGUGAUGUUUUUAAUUUGGUUCUGGAAGUGAAACACGUGGUUGGACAUGUAGGAUCUUAGAGGGAGGGGAGAUUUCGGCGGGUGAUGACGUGGGGUCGUCACAUGGGAUAGUGAGGUGGCAGGAAGAGAUUGGGCAGGGUAGAUUCUUCCGCGAAUUAUCUGUCGGCUCAUACGAAUAUUCUGGCUUAAAGGAUAUGCUGCCAAGGAGCGUGCAUGGGUGAGGGUGCGUGGAAGGUUGAUGGAUUUCCACCGUUCAAAUUAGCUUCAUUUCCAUUAUAUAUAGUUUGCAUUAUAUACGGUUGCUUUAAUAGUUAAACCUGAGUGGGAGCUCGACUCAGUUGCGC